Molecule: ribosomal RNA, 334 nt
Filed under: uncultured eukaryote
Lineage: Eukaryota
Description: partial 18S ribosomal RNA
Rfam family: Eukaryotic small subunit ribosomal RNA
Source: RNAcentral
CCAAUAGCGUAUGUUAAUGUUGUUGCAGUUAAAAAGCUCGUAGUUGAAUUUCCGGCAAAUAUUGCCUGUCUGUGAGAGGAUUGGAUACUCUACGUUUUUAAUCUUUUAGCAGACUUUUACUGUGACUAAAAUAGAGUGCUCAAAGCAGGCUUUUGCUUGAAUAUUACAGCAUGGAAUAAUAAAAGAAGACUUCAGUCAUUUUAUUGGUUAUUGGCAGAAGUAAUGAUUAACAGAAACAGGUGGGGGCAUCCGUAUUUGAUAGUUAGAGGUAAAAUUCUUAGAUUUAUCAAAGACGAACUAAUGCGAAAGCAUUUGCCAAGAAUGUUUUCAUUAA